GAUGAACGCUGGCGGCGUGCCUAAUACAUGCAAGUCGAGCGAACAGACGAGGAGCUUGCUCCGUUGACGUUAGCGGCGGACGGGUGAGUAACAUGUGUAUAACCUACCUAUAAGACUGGGAUAACUUCGGGAAACCGGCGCUUACACCGGAGAAUAUAUUGAACCGCAUGGUUCAAUAGUGAAAGUCGGUGUUGCGGUCUCUUAUAGAUGGAUCUGCGCCGCAUUAGCUAGUUGGUAGGGUAACGGCUUACCAAGGGAACGAUGCGUAGCCGACGUGAGAGAGUGGUAGCCGGCACGAGAGGUGGAACACGGUCAUGGGUCCUGCGGGAGGCAGCAGAAGGCAAUGUUCCGCAGUAGGGGAGAACAUGGCGGAACAACGCGGCGUGAGUGGUGGAAGUCUUGGGUUCGUGAAACUCUGUUAUUAGGGAAGAACAGAUGUGUAAGUAACUGAACACGGCUUGACGGUACCGGGUCAGAAAGCCACGGCUAACUACGUG
This 497-nucleotide ribosomal RNA is filed under the name uncultured bacterium. RNAcentral describes it as "partial 16S ribosomal RNA". It matches the Rfam family "Bacterial small subunit ribosomal RNA", at positions 28 to 507 of the family's 1533-position model. The record is from RNAcentral.